CCUACGGGAGGCUGCAGUGGGGAAUAUUGCACAAUGGGCGAAAGCCUGAUGCAGCAACGCCGCGUGAGCGAUGAAGGCCUUCGGGUCGUAAAGCUCUGUCCUCAAGGAAGAUAAUGACGGUACUUGAGGAGGAAGCCCCGGCUAACUACGUGCCAGCAGCCGCGGUAAUACGUAGGGGGCUAGCGUUGUCCGGAGUUACUGGGCGUAAAGGGGGCGUAGGUGGGUGCUAAAGUCAGAGGUAAAAGGCGACGGCUAAACCGUAGUAAGCCUUUGAAACUGGGGAACUUGAGUGGAGGAGAGGAGAGUGGAAUUCCUAGUGUAGCGGUGAAAUGCGUAGAUAUUAGGAGGAACACCAGUGGCGAAGGCGGCUCUCUGGACUGUAACUGACACUGAGGCACGAAAGCGUGGGGAGCAAACAGGAUUAGAUACCCGAGUAGUC
This 439-nucleotide ribosomal RNA is filed under the name uncultured bacterium. RNAcentral describes it as "partial 16S ribosomal RNA". It matches the Rfam family "Bacterial small subunit ribosomal RNA", at positions 338 to 795 of the family's 1533-position model. The record is from RNAcentral.